This 200-nucleotide ribosomal RNA is filed under the name uncultured bacterium. RNAcentral describes it as "partial 16S ribosomal RNA". It matches the Rfam family "Bacterial small subunit ribosomal RNA", at positions 30 to 242 of the family's 1533-position model. The record is from RNAcentral.
AUUGAACGCUGGCGGCAGGCCUAACACAUGCAAUUCGAGCGGGGUUUUCGGACCUAGCGGCGGACGGGUGAGUAAUGCGUAGGAAGCUGCCCGAUAGAGGGGGAUACCAGUUGGAAACGACUGUUAAUACCGCAUAAUGUCUACGGACCAAAGUGUGGGACCUUCGGGCCACAUGCUAUCGGAUGCGCCUACGUGGGAUU